RNAcentral lists this ribosomal RNA (572 nucleotides) under uncultured bacterium. Its description in RNAcentral is "partial 16S ribosomal RNA". It matches the Rfam family "Bacterial small subunit ribosomal RNA", at positions 355 to 920 of the family's 1533-position model. The record is from RNAcentral.
UGGGGAAUUUUGGACAAUGGGCGAAAGCCUGAUCCAGCAAUGCCGCGUGUGUGAAGAAGGCCUUCGGGUUGUAAAGCACUUUUGUCCGGAAAGAAAUCCUUGGCUCUAAUACAGUCGGGGGAUGACGGUACCGGAAGAAUAAGCACCGGCUAACUACGUGCCAGCAGCCGCGGUAAUACGUAGGGUGCAAGCGUUAAUCGGAAUUACUGGGCGUAAAGCGUGCGCAGGCGGUUUGCUAAGACCGAUGUGAAAUCCCCGGGCUCAACCUGGGAACUGCAUUGGUGACUGGCAGGCUAGAGUAUGGCAGAGGGGGGUAGAAUUCCACGUGUAGCAGUGAAAUGCGUAGAGAUGUGGAGGAAUACCGAUGGCGAAGGCAGCCCCCUGGGCCAAUACUGACGCUCAUGCACGAAAGCGUGGGGAGCAAACAGGAUUAGAUACCCUGGUAGUCCACGCCCUAAACGAUGUCAACUAGUUGUUGGGGAUUCAUUUCCUUAGUAACGUAGCUAACGCGUGAAGUUGACCGCCUGGGGAGUACGGUUGCAAGAUUAAAACUUAAAUGAAUUGACGGGGUC